Herpailurus yagouaroundi (jaguarundi) is the source of this 742-nucleotide long non-coding RNA. RefSeq lists it as uncharacterized. Lineage: Eukaryota; Metazoa; Chordata; Mammalia; Carnivora; Felidae. The transcript is spliced from 2 exons. The record is from RefSeq and is a predicted model, not a curated record.
CGCCCCGCCCCGUCCCGCCCACCGCGCGAGAAACUCCUGCGCCCCGCCCCCGGGUGUCCCCGCGUGAGUCACCUGGGCAUUUCGGAAGCUGGCCCACGUCACAUCCAUGUGGAAAUCGCGGUGAUGGGAACUGGAAAUGAAAUAGGUUCUUUUUUUCUCAGCCGUUUUUCUGCAGAAAAUCACCAACUGUGGAGAACAAGAAGGGAAAUAAUAAAGAAAGAAAACCCUAAAAACCACCCCGGCGUCCGGGACCUCAGGCUUCGGGCCGGGUUUGAAACGCCGGGGCUGUGCACGUGAUGAGCUCGUAGGGGAGCGCCGUGCUCUGGGCCCCGGCGGGGAUUUCGAGAACAAGAAGCGGUCACGGCCCUCGGUCCCCACGCCAGCGUUCCUGCCACCCGGACCCCGCGCUGGUGGGGUGCAGGUCUGAAGUGAGUCCUGAGGCCCCAGAGCCUUGACAUUUGCAGGGGCAAAACCAACCUUAGGUGACGUUAAGAAUCAGAGCAACUAUCAACCCUGUCCUGCACUUAAUUGCCCCUUCUUCAGUUCUGCACACCGGUGCCCAGGUGAUGCCAACGUUCAGGAUCGUGCUCUGCUGCUGCAAAGGAAGAUCCAUAUUAAACAUAUCUUAAACUAGCCUCUUGUAAGUAUGGCAGGGUAGCUUUGAAUCCUGCCGCAAAUUUUUUUUAAAUUUUUUUAAUGUUUAUUUUUGAGAGAGAGAGAGAGAGAGAGAGAGAGAGAGAGA